CCUACGGGAGGCAGCAGUGGGGAAUAUUGGGCAAUGGGCGCAAGCCUGACCCAGCAACGCCGCGUGAAGGAAGAAGGCUCUCGGGUUGUAAACUUCUUUUCUCAGGGACGAAGAAAGUGACGGUACCUGAGGAAUAAGCCACGGCUAACUACGUGCCAGGAGUCGCGGUAAUCCGUAGGGGGCAAGCGUUAUCCGGAUUUACUGGGUGUAAAGGGCGUGUAGGCGGGGAAGCAAGUCAGAUGUGAAAACCACGGGCUCAACCUGUGGCCUGCAUUUGAAACUGUUUUUCUUGAGUACUGGAGAGGCAGACGGAAUUCCUAGUGUAGCGGUGAAAUGCGUAGAUAUUAGGAGGAACACCAGUGGCGAAGGCAGUCUGCUGGACAGCAACUGACGCUGAGGCGCGAGAGCGUGGGGAGCAAACAGGAUUAGAUACCCCUGUAGUC
Molecule: ribosomal RNA, 443 nt
Filed under: uncultured bacterium
Lineage: Bacteria
Description: partial 16S ribosomal RNA
Rfam family: Bacterial small subunit ribosomal RNA
Source: RNAcentral